CCUACGGGAGGCAGCAGUGGGGAAUAUUGCACAAUGGGGGAAACCCUGAUGCAGCGACGCCGCGUGAGUGAAGAAGUAUUUCGGUACGUAAAGCUCUAUCAGCAGGGAAGAAAAUGACGUUACCUGACUAACAAGCCCCGGCUAACUCCGUGCCAGCAGCAGUGUUAAUACGUAGGGGGCAGCCGUUAUCCGGAUUUACUGGGUGUAAAGGGAGCGUAGACGGCAGCGCAAGUCUGGAGUGAAAUGGCAGGGCUUAACCAUGGAACUGCAUGGGAAACUGGGCAGCUAGAGUGCAGGAAAGGUAGGCGGAAUUCGUCGUGUAGCGGUGAAAUGCGUAGAUAUGAGGAGGAACCCCAGUGGCGAAGGCGGCUUGCUGCAGUGUAACUGACGUUGAGGCUCGAAAGCGUGGGGAGCGAACAGGAUUAGAUACCCGUGUAGUC
This 440-nucleotide ribosomal RNA is filed under the name uncultured bacterium. Its description in RNAcentral is "partial 16S ribosomal RNA". It matches the Rfam family "Bacterial small subunit ribosomal RNA", at positions 338 to 795 of the family's 1533-position model. The record is from RNAcentral.